Ornithorhynchus anatinus (platypus) is the source of this 87-nucleotide non-coding RNA. The record is from Rfam. NCBI's taxonomy places the organism in Eukaryota, Metazoa, Chordata, Mammalia, Monotremata, Ornithorhynchidae.
UGAUGGCGUCAUGCACAGUUCUGGGAGAUGUUAUCACGUGCUAUCUCAUUCGGUGAUAUCGUCACCCAGCACCGCACAUGCCCAUCA